RNAcentral lists this long non-coding RNA (5206 nucleotides) under Triticum aestivum (bread wheat). Its description in RNAcentral is "long non-coding RNA (TAES_LNC014679)". Lineage: Eukaryota; Viridiplantae; Streptophyta; Magnoliopsida; Poales; Poaceae. The record is from RNAcentral.
AACAGCUCAGAAAAAUACCAUGAAUAAUUACGAAAAAACACAAAUAUAUUCAAGACAUUACAUAUAAUUCUAUAGAUCACAGAAAAUCAAGGAAUUUGCAAAUGUAUAAAUAAUCACUGAUUUACACUAUCAUCUUCGGACACUCAUGAGAAUAGUCAGAACUAAAGAUGUCACAUAACAUAGAGAGGCAACAUUUCUUAGGUACUCUAAUACAGAACGAGAAAUCAAGUGUCACUCCACUCGUGCUGAGUGGCGAUCCAAAUGGGACUACGACCUUUCGUGAGCUAGAGGUGUAAGAAUGUAGCUGACUCCAACAAAAAUUGUGUUGUAGCCUCGUCUCAGAAGUGUAGCCCCCCUGAUUUAUACAAAUGAAGGAUCAUAAGCUGGGAAAGAGAAGCAUAUGAUAAAUUAUUAACAGAUUCUAAUAUGACAUGAUAAUACAAAUCACAUUGGCAUUUCAGUUCCGAUCUUUUAUGUGCAAAAGUCAAAAUCACCGAAAAAGACCCCAAUGGCAAGUCCAGAUUGGUUAUCUGGAACCAAUACUGACUAAGACAUACUCAUACAGAUCUUAACACUAAUACAGCAGAACCAAAAAUGACUUUUGCGAUCGCUGGUGACACUCUUAAGCCGAUAAUUCAAUUACAACGAUUUUAUCAUUAAGAAAUGGGGAUUAGCCUACUAAAGUACUGAGAUUAUAGAUUAUACGUAUAAAUUAGGAAACAUGAAAUACAAAAAUAAUUAGCAAAAUUACGAAAUAAUUCACCCCACCUCAACAGUUACACGAGUCGAGUCCCACAAAACCUAAUUAUGUCUAGGAUAAAUUUAUCGUGCCCCCAGUUUUUCUUCUUUGGGGGGCCCAGUACAUCCAUAUACUACCCUUUCUUCUUGGUGCCCCCAGUACAUCCAUAUACAACUUCUGCAAUCAUAUAAUUAAAAAAAUACUACUAUGGCGGAAUGAUUACAAAAAUAAUUCUGAAGUAUUGUUGCCACAACUUGGAACAUAUAGUAAUUGCAACCGACAGAAAGCACAACUUGCCUCCAGAUAAAUCAAAUCACAUACCUUGAAAAUGUAAGUUGAAAAUAUGAAUGAUAAAUGCUAAUCUGCAGAUGUAUAUAGUGACCCUCAUCUAAACACAUAGACCAAAUGGUAAUCCAUGUAUUAUUGGAGCGAGACCAACUAGCUCCUUAUGUUUGCAGAAGUUGAUCAAAGGAUAACAUAAUUAAGAAACAUCAACUAGAUUUAAUUUUCUAUGGAGGCACUGCUAGGGUAACAUCAAAUGAUCAAUUCAGAAUAACUCAUGUUAUUGUAAAGGAAAGAAUAGGCAGAGUUCAGAAACAAAGGUUCAUGGAUCUACAAACAGUCAGAUGGAUAAAACUCAGGUUCAGAUAAAACUCCAGUCAAUAAUGGUGCAAAAUAAACAAAGAUAAGAUGGAUGUAGUGCAAAACAAGAAAAUAUAAGAUGAACUGUCUACACACGUGAUGUUCUCUCCAUCGCAGAAAUUUCCUCCUUCAACCAAUAAAGUCUAAGACAUGGGUCAGUGCUGUUGAUGAAUAUUUCUCGAUUUAUUUGGUUGUGUCCUUUGUCAUGUGUGAAAGAAACUUGAUAUCAAUAGAUCAUGAUAUCCAUAGAUACAAGAAGAGUAUUGAGCUAUGCAAAGUGUAUGAUGCAUAAUGGCAUGUAACUGCACAGGUUGUCUAAGAAGUAUAACAACAACAACAACAACAACAACAAAGCCUUUAGUCCCAAACAAGUUGAGGUAGGCUAGAGGUGAAACCCAUAAGAUCUCGCAACCAACUCAUGGCUCUGGAACAUGGAUAGCAAGCUUCCACGCACCCCUGUCCAUAGCUAGCUCUUUGGUGAUACUCCAAUCCUUCAGGUCUCUCUUAACGGACUCCUCUCAUGUCAAAUUCGGUCUACCCCGCCCUCUCUUGACAUUCUCCGGACGCUUUAGCCGUCCACUAUGCACCGGAGCUUCUGGAGGCCUGCGCUGAAUAUGCCUAAACCAUCUCAGACGAUGUUGGACAAGCUUCUCUUCAAUUGGUGCUACCCCAACUCUAUCUCGUAUAUCAUCAUUUCGGACUCGAUCCUUCCUCGUGUGGCCACACAUCCAUCUCAACAUACGCAUCUCCGCCACACCUAACUGUUGAACAUGUCGCCUUUUAGUCGACCAACACUCAGCGCCAUACAACAUUGCGGGUCGAACCGCCGUCCUGUAGAACUUGCCUUUUAGCUUUUAUGGCACUCUUGUCACAGAAAAUGCCAGAAGCUUGGCGCCACUUCAUCCAUCCGGCUUUGAUUCGAUGGUUCACAUCUUCAUCAAUACCCCCAUCCUCCUGCAGCAUUGACCCCAAAUACCGAAAGGUGUCCUUCUGAGGUACCACCUGGCCAUCAAGACUAACCUCCUCCUCACACCUAGUAGUACUGAAACCACACAUCAUGUACUCGGUUUUAGUUCUACUAAGCCUAAACCCUUUAGAUUCCAAAGUUUGUCUCCAUAACUCUAACUUUCUAUUUACCCCCAUCCGACUAUCGUCAACUAGCACCACAUCAUCCGCAAAGAGCAUACACCAUGGGAUAUCUCCUUGUAUAUCCCUUGUGACCUCAUCCAUCACCAAUGCAAAAAGAUAAGGGCUCAAAGCUGACCCUUGAUGCAGUCCUAUCUUAAUCGGGAAGUCAUCAGUGUCGACAUCACUUGUUCGAACACUUGUCACAACAUCAUCGUACAUGUCCUUGAUGAGGGUAAUGUACUUUGCUGGGACUUUGUGUUUCUCCAAGGCCCACCACAUGACAUUCCGCGGUAUCUUAUCAUAGGCCUUCUCCAAGUCAAUGAACACCAUAUGCAAGUCCUUCUUUUUCUCCCUAUAUCUCUCCAUAAGUUGUCGUACCAAGAAAAUGGCUUCCAUGGUCGACCUCCCAGGCAUGAAACCAAACUGAUUUUUGAUCACGCUUGUCAUUCUUCUUAAGCGGCGCUCAAUGACUCUCUCCCAUAGCUUCAUUGUAUGGCUCAUCAGCUUAAUUCCAUGGUAAUUAGUACAACUCUGAACAUCCCCCUUGUUUUUGAAGAUUGGUACUAAUAUACUCCGUCUCCAUUCUUCUGGCAUCUUGUUUGCCCGAAAAAUGAGGUUGAAAAGCUUGGUUAGCCAUACUAUCGCUAUGUCCCCGAGACCUUUCCAUACCUCAAUGGGGAUACAAUCAGGGCCCAUCGCCUUGCCUCCUUUCAUCCUUUUUAAAGCCUCCUUGACCUCAGACUCCUGGAUUCGCCGCACAAAACGCAUGCUGGUCUCAUCAAAGGACUCAUCCAGUUCAAUGGUAGAACUCUCAUUCUUCCCAUUGAACAGCUUGUCAAAGUACUCCCGCCAUCUAUACUUAAUCUCCUCGUCCUUCACCAAGAGUUGGCCUGCUCCGUCCUUGAUGCAUUUGACUUGGCCAAUAUCCCUCGUCUUCCUCUCUCGGAUCUUGGCCAUCUUAUAGAUGUUCCUUUCACCUUCCUUCGUGCCUAACCAUUGGUAGAGGUCCUCAUAUGCCCGACCCCUUGCUUCACCAACAGCUCGCUUUGCGGCCUUCUUUGCCAUCUUGUACUUCUCUAUGUUGUCUGCACUCCUAUCCAGGUAUAGACGUUUGAAGCAAUCUUUCUUCUCUUUAAUCGCCUUCUGUACAUCAUCAUUCCACCACCAGGUAUCCUUAUCUUCGCUUCUCCUUCCCCUAGACACUCCAAGCUCCUCCGAGGCCACCUUACGAAUGCAAGUCGCCAUCUUCGUCCACACAUUGUUCGCAUCUCCUCCUUCCUCCCCAGGGCCCUCCUUAAUGACCCUCUCCUUGAACGCUAGAGCUACCUCCCCCUUGAGCUUCCACCACUUCGUUCUAGCAACUUUGGCACGCUUAUCCCGCUGGACACGAAUCCGAAAGCGGAAGUCAGCAACCACCAGCUUAUGCUGGGGUACAACACUCUCUCCAGGUAUCACCUUACAGUCUAGGCACGCACGCCUAUCUUCUCUUCUCGAGAGGAUGAAAUCAAUCUGGCUAGAGUGUUGGCCACUACUAAAAGUCACCAGAUGUGAUUCUCUCUUUCUAAAGAGGGUGUUAGCUACAAUCAUGUUGUAGGCUAGAGCAAAGCUUAAGACAUCUUCUCCUUCUUGAUUCCUGAUGCCAUAGCCAAAGCCCCCGUGCGCCCCUUCAAAACCUGUGUUAGAUGUACCCACGUGGCCAUUGAGGUCUCCUCCUAUGAAGAGCUUCUCACCAAUCGGUACACUCCUAACCAUGUCUUCCAAGCCUUCCCAGAACUCCCUCUUGGUGUUCUCAUUGUGGCCUACUUGCGGGGCAUACGCGCUGAUAACAUUGAGAACCAAGUCCUCAACUACCAGUUUGACCAGGAUAAUCCGGUCCCCACGUCUCUUGACGUCUACCACUCCAUACUUGAGGCUCUUGUUGAUCAAGAUGCCUACGCCAUGGUAAAUUUAAUUGCAGAGGAUACGAAAACUAAAAAUAGAAAAUUUAUAACUACGAAAAAAGCAUAAAAAUAAACAAUUGUAGUAUGUACUGCCAUAAGGAUCUAACAGAGAAAAACGUUCAGUAUUUGCCUGUCUACACAAAAGCAAUUAACUUGCCUAAACCAAAGUUCACAAGACUCACCAGUAAUUAAAUGCAGCAAAUCCAUUGCAUUUGCCACAUUCUUCUGAAUUGCACCUAAUUAUAAUGUAUGCAGCCAAUAAUCUAACUUCAGUAGACAAACUGCCACACAUUAGGCAAUGCUCUGCUCUGUAGUAACAAGAGUCCAAACAAGAAAAAUGUUCCUUGAAAGAUCCAAAAUAUAGCAUCAGACCUCACAAUCAAUCACAAGAGCCAAUUGACAAAUCAAAACACUGUGCAGAUCUAGGGGAGAGAAGCGGAAGGAAGAGAUUGUGCUCACCGUUAAUUUGACAAUGGUGGGAGAGUUCCAAGAUUCUGAUUAGCUGUAAAAUGCGGAAGAGACGCUCAGGUCCGUGGAUCUGGAGCAACAUCAUCAGUGCUAACCGAGGCAUCAAAUAGGUGGUAGUGGUGGACGAGGAAGAGGAGCGGGCUAACCUGGCUCGGAGGACGAGGAAGGUGACCGCUAGCUCAUUGUUGUUCGUCUGAGGAGAUAUGAGCUGCGAGGGGUAGUCGAUCUUGCCGGAAGUAAAAACCGACCUCUAGGCCGUCGCCAUCACCUGGCAGAGGAUCUUGGCAGG